UACGUAGGGGGCUAGCGUUGUCCGGAAUCAUUGGGCGUAAAGAGCGUGUAGGCGGUCCGGUAAGUCCGCUGUGAAAGUCGGGGGCUCAACCCUCGAAUGCCGGUGGAUACUGUCGGGCUAGAGUGCGGAAGAGGCGAGUGGAAUUCCUGGUGUAGCGGUGAAAUGCGCAGAUAUCAGGAGGAACACCGAUGGCGAAGGCAGCUCGCUGGGACGGUACUGACGCUGAGACGCGAAAGCGUGGGGAGCAAACAGG
This 253-nucleotide ribosomal RNA is filed under the name uncultured bacterium. RNAcentral's name for it is "partial 16S ribosomal RNA". It matches the Rfam family "Bacterial small subunit ribosomal RNA", at positions 524 to 776 of the family's 1533-position model. The record is from RNAcentral.